CAGCCGCCGCGGUAAUACAGAUGGUGCGAGCGUUAAUCGGAUUUACUGGGCGUAAAGCGUGCGUAGGCGGCUUUUUAAGUCGGAUGUGAAAUCCCUGAGCUUAACUUAGGAAUUGCAUUCGAUACUGGGAAGCUAGAGUAUGGGAGAGGAUGGUAGAAUUCCAGGUGUAGCGGUGAAAUGCGUAGAGAUCUGGAGGAAUACCGAUGGCGAAGGCAGCCAUCUGGCCUAAUACUGACGCUGAGGUACGAAAGCAUGGGGAGCAAACAGGAUUAGAUACCCCCGUAGUCCCUGUCUCUUAUAC
RNAcentral lists this ribosomal RNA (301 nucleotides) under uncultured bacterium. Its description in RNAcentral is "partial 16S ribosomal RNA". It matches the Rfam family "Bacterial small subunit ribosomal RNA", at positions 509 to 807 of the family's 1533-position model. The record is from RNAcentral.